RNAcentral lists this long non-coding RNA (772 nucleotides) under Homo sapiens (human). Its description in RNAcentral is "HSALNT0023728". Lineage: Eukaryota; Metazoa; Chordata; Mammalia; Primates; Hominidae. The record is from RNAcentral.
CCCAUGCUGCCACCAAACACUGUGGUUUUGACCCUAAAACCUCCUGGACCCUUGCUUAAGACCACCGGGAUGCGCAGUGUGUUGGGUUGGGGGGAUAGCAGUGUGUUUGCUUUCAGGAUAGCAGUGCUGCUCAGUGGGAUGUUCUGUGAUGAUGGGGCUGUCCCAUGUCUGCUCUGUCCAAUGUGAUAGCUGCUAGCCACAUGUGGUUACUGACUACCAUACUGGCAGCACACAGAACAUUCUGGAAUGUCAUCACAGAAUUUCUAUCGGACAGUGUCAAGCUAACUGUAAGGUUCUCAAGAAAGGAAAAGGCUAGGGGAGUUGAUGGUGCAAACAAAGGACAGUGUGGGGAGUAAGAGAUUCAAUCAGAGAAACACAGCCACGUCAGCUAGGCUACAGCAGGAGACUGCGUUUCAUUUUAGGACAAAAGGAGGCUGUGGGGUUUAAACCGAGCAGCAGCAGGAAUAUGAGUCAGGAGACUCCGGAAGUGGUCCAAGAGAAAUUACAAUGGACAGGGAGAAGUGGCCAAGCAAAGAGAUGGGUGUGCAUCCUGUAGAAGGGAGAGAAGAGCAAGCUUGCUAAUGGAUGGUGCCAUUUGGAAACAGCAACAGUUUUAAUUAACUCAUUUUACUCACUGUCAUUUACCCUGUCUGGGAAAAAAAACAAGAGAGACUUUCUGAAUGUUCUUAUACCUGAAAGUGAAACUGGUUCACAAAAUAAACACAUACAUAAUCCAAUGCCAAAAACUGGUGAUUUAUAGAAAUCACCCUGG